CAAGUAAAUCAGAUAAUCGCGUGAAAACGAGGAAAGUCCGUGCACCAUAGAGCGAGGAUGCUGGAUAACGUCCAGUGGAGGCGACUUCAAGGCUAGUGCAACAGAGAGAUACCGCCCAGCACUUAAUUUGUUAGGACCGGCUGUUAGGAAACGAAUAUGCGUAUUGUGGCGACUAGGAAGACGCCGUCGGUACUAAGAAAUUAAGUGCUGGGUAAGGGUGGAAAGGUGGGGUAAGGGCCCACCGGCGAACUGGCGACUGUUCGGCCAUGUAAACCCCAUCCGGUGCAAAAUCAAAAGCGGACCAAAUAGCGGCUGCUCGUCGUGGUCCGAGAGGUAGAUUGCUUGAGCUUACUGGCAACUGUAAGCCUAGAUAGAUGAUUAUCAAAUACAGAACACGGCUUAUAGAUUUACUUACCAU
This 418-nucleotide RNase P RNA is filed under the name Tissierellia bacterium. RNAcentral's name for it is "RNase P RNA component class A". It matches the Rfam family "Bacterial RNase P class A". From Rfam's summary of the family: Ribonuclease P (RNase P) is a ubiquitous endoribonuclease, found in archaea, bacteria and eukarya as well as chloroplasts and mitochondria. Its best characterised activity is the generation of mature 5'-ends of tRNAs by cleaving the 5'-leader elements of precursor-tRNAs. Cellular RNase Ps are ribonucleoproteins. The record is from RNAcentral. Lineage: Bacteria; Bacillati; Bacillota; Tissierellia.